AAACUUACCUAGCAGGCGAGAUACCAUGAUCAAGAAGGUGGUUCACCCAGGGCAAGGCUUGACCAUUGCACUCUGGUAGUGCGAACCCCUGCGAAUUCCCCUAUUGUGGGAAUCUCGACUGCCUAAUUUUUGGUAGUGGUGGAUUGCGUUUGCGCUACCCUGUU
Small nuclear RNA from Lampris incognitus (smalleye Pacific opah), 164 nucleotides. RefSeq annotates it as U1 spliceosomal RNA. Lineage: Eukaryota; Metazoa; Chordata; Actinopteri; Lampriformes; Lampridae. The transcript has a single exon. The record is from RefSeq and is a predicted model, not a curated record.